GUGAAUCAUCGAAUUUUUGAACGCAAAUUGCACUCUCCUCGGAGAGUAUGCCUGUUUGAGGGUCAGCCUAUAAAAAUCGACAUAGCUGCUGUUUCGCGGUGGCGUUCGUCGGUUAGUCGGUCAUCUUAAAUCCUUUUUAUUUAAGCGACUUACAUUUUUAUUUUGUUUCCAUGUCUGUUUCUAAGAUUUAUUUCUUUACACGUUUAAGGUGUC
This 213-nucleotide unclassified non-coding RNA is filed under the name Glomus sp. RNAcentral's name for it is "partial contains 5.8S ribosomal RNA and internal transcribed spacer 2". The stretch from base 1 to 65 matches the Rfam family "5.8S ribosomal RNA", at positions 84 to 154 of the family's 154-position model. The record is from RNAcentral. Lineage: Eukaryota; Fungi; Glomeromycota; Glomeromycetes; Glomerales; Glomeraceae.